This 90-nucleotide ribosomal RNA is filed under the name Chryseobacterium geocarposphaerae. The record is from RNAcentral. Lineage: Bacteria; Pseudomonadati; Bacteroidota; Flavobacteriia; Flavobacteriales; Weeksellaceae.
GGGCUCACCUGUUCCCAUUCCGAACACAGAAGUUAAGCCCACCAGCGCCGAUGGUACUGCGACAAGCGGGAGAGUAGGUCGCCGCCAGUU